UGACAAGAAGCAUCUUCAGAU
RNAcentral lists this non-coding RNA (21 nucleotides) under Rattus norvegicus (Norway rat). The record is from RNAcentral. Lineage: Eukaryota; Metazoa; Chordata; Mammalia; Rodentia; Muridae.